AUUGCGGACUGGCCUAAAUAAGGACAACUAUAGACACACAUAUUGGAGCGAUUCCUUGCUUCGAGUAGCUAUUAUAUAUGAUCCCACAUUUCUAUAGGCAAAGGACAUUUUUGUAAGGUUUCACACUGGCGCAAACAUAGAGUGACCAGGAGCAUGUGCACAAAGUUGCCGCUUUUAAUGGGAAGAGAUGACACAGGCCUGCAAAGGACAGCUGUGAUCUUCUCCCAUCAAACUCUUGUCACUGCCUUUAAGCCCAACUGAGCUAAUAGGUAUCACCUUCCCACACUUGGGAGAAGGGCGAGGAAUCCAACAAACCUGAAAACCCGGCCUUUCCAUCAGUGAGUUUUCAUCAUGCACACCUUGACAGGCAAGACAUGCGAUGUCCCGCUUCAGUUUCACACCUGACAGGUGAGCAUGAACAGAAGGAGAGGAUGACCUGAACAAAUGUUUGGUGGUCUGCUUGUCUUUGCCCUUAAAAACAACCCUGCGAGGAAGAGCCCAGCCGGUCCCCACUUCUCAAAAGAAACAGGAUCUGCUGCUCCUCCAAAGGGCCAAGAUCCUUCGGAAGAAGAACGCAAAGAGAGAGAGAUACUCCUUCUCAGAGGAGACCAGGCCCUGAGAAAAGCAGCUGGAAGUUCAGAGAGAUGCCUCCUGGGACCUCAGUGGCACCAAAGAUAAACCUUUCCUCGACCAGCCAGGAAUCACAAAUAUGACACACUACAGAUUUGCAAACUGUGUUUUAAUAAAUAAGGCUUUUGCUCAAAGGCUGGUCAGAAGUCCAAACUUGUUCCAGAAUUCCAAAAUAUUUACAUACUCAAUAUACAUACAUAC
Molecule: long non-coding RNA, 831 nt
Organism: Sceloporus undulatus (fence lizard)
Lineage: Eukaryota; Metazoa; Chordata; Lepidosauria; Squamata; Phrynosomatidae
Exons: 4
Source: RefSeq, a predicted model, not a curated record